This 75-nucleotide transfer RNA is filed under the name Candidatus Riesia sp. RNAcentral describes it as "tRNA-Glu". It matches the Rfam family "tRNA". Rfam says of the family: Transfer RNA (tRNA) molecules are approximately 80 nucleotides in length. Their secondary structure includes four short double-helical elements and three loops (D, anti-codon, and T loops). The record is from RNAcentral. Lineage: Bacteria; Pseudomonadati; Pseudomonadota; Gammaproteobacteria; Enterobacterales; Enterobacteriaceae.
GACGCUGUGGACGAAAUUGGUUUAGUCGUCUCCCUUUCAAGGAGGAGGUUGCGGGUUCGAUUCCCGUCAGCGUUA